Molecule: ribosomal RNA, 492 nt
Filed under: uncultured bacterium
Lineage: Bacteria
Description: partial 16S ribosomal RNA
Rfam family: Bacterial small subunit ribosomal RNA
Source: RNAcentral
AGUGAACGCUGGCGGUAGGCCUAACACAUGCAAGUCGAACGGCAGCACAGUAAGAGCUUGCUCUUACGGGUGGCGAGUGGCGGACGGGUGAGGAAUACAUCGGAAUCUACUUUUUCGUGGGGGAUAACGUAGGGAAACUUACGCUAAUACCGCAUACGACCUACGGGUGAAAGCAGGGGAUCUUCGGACCUUGCGCGAUUGAAUGAGCCGAGGUCGGAUUAGCUAGUUGGCGGGGUAAAGGCCCACCAAGGCGACGAUGCGUAGCUGGUCUGAGAGGAUGAUCAGCCACACUGGAACUGAGACACGGUCCAGACUCCUACGGGAGGCAGCAGUGGGGAAUAUUGGACAAUGGGCGCAAGCCUGAUCCAGCCAUGCCGCGUGAGUGAAGAAGGCCUUCGGGUCGUAAAGCCCUGUUGUUGGGAAAGAAAAGCAGCAGGUGAAUACCCGGCUGUUCUGACGGUACCCAAAGAAUAAGCACCGGCUAACUACGUG